GGAGUACCCUCGAAAGAGAUUUCGGUCAAUGGAGAGGACUACUUAGUGGCGGACGGGUGAGUAACGCGUGAGGAACCUGCCUUUCAGAGGGGGACAACAGUUGGAAACGACCGCUAAUACCGCAUAAGCCAACAGGGGCGCAUGCUCUGGUUGGAAAAGAUUUAUCGGUGUGAGAUGGACCCGCGUCUGAUUAGCCAGUUGGCAGGGUAACGGCCUACCAAAGCGACGAUCAGUAGCCGGCCUGAGAGGGUGAACGGCCACAUUGGGACUGAGACACGGCCCAAACUCCUACGGGAGGCAGCAGUGGGGAAUAUUGCACAAUGGGGGAAACCCUGAUGCAGCGACGCCGCGUGAGUGAAGAAGUAUUUCGGUAUGUAAAGCUCUAUCAGCAGGGAAGAAAAUGACGGUACCUGACUAAGAAGCCCCGGCUAACUACGUGCCAGCAGCCGCGGUAAUACGUAGGGGGCAAGCGUUAUCCGGAUUUACUGGGUGUAAAGGGAGCGUAGACGGCGAUGCAAGUCUGAAGUGAAAGGCGGGGGCCCAACCCCCGGACUGCUUUGGAAACUGUAUGGCUGGAGUGCAGGAGAGGUAAGUGGAAUUCCUAGUGUAGCGGUGAAAUGCGUAGAUAUUAGGAGGAACACCAGUGGCGAAGGCGGCUUACUGGACUGUAACUGACGUUGAGGCUCGAAAGCGUGGGGAGCAAACAGGAUUAGAUACCCUGGUAGUCCACGCCGUAAACGAUGAUCACCAGGUGUCGGUGGGUAUGGACCCAUCGGUGCCGCAGCAAACGCAGUAAGUGAUCCACCUGGGGAGUACGUU
This 819-nucleotide ribosomal RNA is filed under the name uncultured bacterium. RNAcentral describes it as "bacterial SSU rRNA". It matches the Rfam family "Bacterial small subunit ribosomal RNA", at positions 64 to 886 of the family's 1533-position model. The record is from RNAcentral.